Molecule: non-coding RNA, 2376 nt
Organism: Meleagris gallopavo (turkey)
Lineage: Eukaryota; Metazoa; Chordata; Aves; Galliformes; Phasianidae
Source: RefSeq, a predicted model, not a curated record
UCUUGUCAUUCAGCGUUGUGAAACCAAAUGAGCUUCUCCAAGAGAAAGAACUGCAUGCAGCAUCUUCUCUGUGCUAAUAGCCUGAUGCAUACCAAUGUUCCACACACGUUCUGUUGAUUUGUACCCCAACCACGAAAGCAACCUUUUCUCUCCAACUUUUCUCUACUUGAACUGAGUCCAGGAAAGAGAAUGGAGCUCUGAUUCCAGUCCUUCCGUCAAUGAAUCCUCCUUGAAAGUGGAUGACAAGGAAUAGCUUGCAGUAUUCCACCUGAGGCUGCAUUAACUUAUUAAAAGAUUAUUGUUACCAUCUCUGUGCUGUUCCCCAUGCAUUCAAGCUGCCUUAUGUCUUCCUGUGCCGCAUCACUGUGUUGGGUGACUGCCAUUCUGUAGCCAAGGGACAAACUGAAGCCCUUAUCCUCCUCAGGUAAUAGCAGCCACCAAGGCUCCUCGAGAUUUUAUUGGUUUUCUUGGUGUUUAUACCUCCCAUGCCAUAUUACUGAGAUGUAUCCCCUUUUUAUUGAGUGUUUGUUCAACAGAACUAAAAGUUCUCAUAUUUUCUUUUUAGGGAGAAAAUAAGCAGUAAACUAUAGUUUGUGUGGGGGAAAUAACCAAAGGAUAUUUGAGAAAACAAAAUUGUAUUCUUUCACACUUGUAUAAAACACAUUAUUAAAGGCUGUCCUUUUCACUGACAAUCAGGACCAAGUCAGGAAAAUCAGAUUUUCAGUGCCAAGUUGUCCUCCUUUCAACUUAUUGUUGCAGGAGAACAUGCGAGCUGAAAACAAGGCCGAUUUUUUCAUACUUCAGUUGUUUUGAACUACUUGCUUUCCUGAACUAUUGCAAAACAUAGUACUGGGAAAGGGGUGUCUUUUAGUUCUAGUCAAAAAAUCUGACCUGUUUUCCCAGUUUCAGCAGGAAUGAGGAAUUAGGCAGAUUUUUAUGAUGCAGUCUGGUUAUAGUUAGUAAGGAAUGAUAGGGGAGGGAGCAGAUAUAGAAAAUAAUAAAGCAGCAGUGAUGCUGAUGCCAAGCCAUGUUUUCAUAAGAAAAAAAUGAACAACAGAUUUUUACUUUUUCUGAAUUGGCAGCUAUUUGUCCUCACUUGUGUGAAAUACUGACAAUAGAGAAUAUUUUUUUUUCUGGACAGAUUAAUGUACCUUGUUCGGUUUCUUUGGAGUUCUAUUCUUUGAUGUUUGUAUAAUUAAGGUUUGGUCCAUGUAUUUAAAGCCAUAUUUAGUAAGUGAAUAGGCUACAACAAUUAUCUUUGGAGACCAAGGUUUUUUAGAGUACUUAAUUGUCAGCCUUUAGGAAAUCAGAUGGAAUAAGGUGUUAAAGAAGAACAACAUGCUUUGUGAACAUUAUGUCAUUAGUGAACAGCAGGGGAUAGUCAGCCUACCUGUAUGCAUUUCAUUCAGCUGCUUGGGUCUAAUUGAAAUGACUUUUACUAGGGGAAAAAAGGCAAGUGAGUGGCAAGAGGAGUAGGAAAGUCACUGUUUAAUGUGAAUUGGAUAUUCUGGACUGAAGAUUCCAUUCAUAAAUAUUUUAUUAAGGAGAGUAGACCUCCAAAGGAAGCCUCCAAAUCCAUUUUCAACUGUAGUAUCAUGCCUGAUAAAGCAGUCUGUGGAAAUAUCUGGAAUAAAACUACGGAUCCACUUUUUCCCUCAUAAAGGAAAACCCUCUGGAGGUAUCUACUUUCCUCUGAUUAGAACAACAAAUCCAAGCGAUGGGAGACUUGUAAGGUAAAAACAAACAAACAAACAAAAAACCAAAACAUAAGGCAUUUAGAGUUGGGUCUUCAAUAUUUUUGUCCAUCCAUAGGGGUGAAGUUCAUAUAGCCAAGGAUGGUGCAUUUUGAAUGUUUAAUUAGAAUGUUUAGUAAUGUGUGUCCUAAAAAAUCAGCCUAUGAUUUGUAAUAAGUUGGUGUGCCUGGGCUCAUCUAAUAGCAGUGCAACUGUAGCAGCAUUGUGCUACUCUAAUCCUGUCAUUAGUAAAUGACAUGCAGAUUAUACAUGUACAGCUGUGUGUGACUCUUUUAAAGAGUAUCCAGCUUCUAUGUUACCAUUAAAUCCUGCUGAAAGAGAUUGCCAUAAUAGCAAUAUAUAAUAAUAUGACCUGUGUUCCUGUCUGCUGUUUCCAUCAUGUGGUUGGUUACUUUGUCACUAAUGCUGCAGGUACUUUGGUAUCCUGUAAAACACACAAAACAACAUUUAGUUUUAAAGUGGGACAUAGGGUUAUUUUCUUAUGUGAAGCACUGAAGCUACCAUAAGUCAUCGCAGGAUUGUCUGCUCCAAAAAUGAAGUACAGAAUAUGAAGCAGUCAGUGAUCUUAAAUCAGCUAUAUAUGGAAGAAAUAAUUAAUGCAAAUACAUACUCUAAAAUAGCA